AACGGCCGUACCAUGCUGAAUAUGCCGGUUCUCGUUAGAUCACCGAAGUCAAGCAUCAUUGGGCGCGGUCAGUACUUGGGUGGGUGACCACCUGGGAACACCGCGUGCCGUU
Molecule: non-coding RNA, 112 nt
Organism: Caerostris darwini
Lineage: Eukaryota; Metazoa; Arthropoda; Arachnida; Araneae; Araneidae
Source: the annotation of a GenBank genome assembly